GAUGAAGAACGCAGCGAAAUGCGAUAAGUAGUGUGAAUUGCAGAAUUCAGUGAAUCAUCGAAUCUUUGAACGCACCUUGCACCCUUUGGCAUUCUGAAGGGUAUGCUCGUUUGAGUGUCAUUGUACUCUCACACUCCCGAUCUUUGCAUUGGGAGCAGUGGACUUGGGUUUGCUGCUUCACCGUCGCUUACCUCAAAUAGGUUAGUGCAACUCUUGGUUGGACAUAGUACGGCGUGAUAAGUGUUCUUCGCCGGUGCCUCGCAAAGAGGGUGGCCGAUCGGGAUGUUUGUGCUCCAAACCGUCUUCGGACAAUCUCUGACGACUUGACCUCAAAUCGAGUAAGACUACCCGCUGAACUUAAGCAUAUCAAAAGCGAGGA
This 379-nucleotide unclassified non-coding RNA is filed under the name soil metagenome. RNAcentral's name for it is "partial contains 5.8S ribosomal RNA, internal transcribed spacer 2, and large subunit ribosomal RNA". The stretch from base 1 to 120 matches the Rfam family "5.8S ribosomal RNA", at positions 35 to 154 of the family's 154-position model. The record is from RNAcentral.